UACGAAGGGUGCAAGCGUUACUCGGAAUUACUGGGCGUAAAGCGUGCGUAGGUGGUUCGUUAAGUCUGCCGUGAAAGCCCCGGGCUCAACCUGGGAAUUGCGAUGGAGACUGCAAGGCUAGAAUCUGGCAGAGGGGGGUAGAAUUCCACGUGUAGCAGUGAAAUGCGUAGAGAUGUGGAGGAACACCGAUGGCGAAGGCAGCCCCCUGGGUCAAGAUUGACGCUCAUGCACGAAAGCGUGGGGAGCAAACAGG
Molecule: ribosomal RNA, 253 nt
Filed under: uncultured bacterium
Lineage: Bacteria
Description: partial 16S ribosomal RNA
Rfam family: Bacterial small subunit ribosomal RNA
Source: RNAcentral